This 931-nucleotide ribosomal RNA is filed under the name uncultured prokaryote. RNAcentral describes it as "bacterial SSU rRNA". It matches the Rfam family "Archaeal small subunit ribosomal RNA", at positions 462 to 1392 of the family's 1478-position model. The record is from RNAcentral.
CCGCCGCGGUAAAACCAGCACCUCAAGUGGUCAGGAUGAUUAUUGGGCCUAAAGCAUCCGUAGCCGGCUCUGUAAGUUUUCGGUUAAAUCUGUACGCUCAACGUACAGGCUGCCGGGAAUACUGCAAAGCUAGGGAGUGGGAGAAGUAGACGGUACUCGGUAGGAAGUGGUAAAAUGCUUUGAUCUAUCGAUGACCACCUGUGGCGAAGGCGGUCUACUAGAACACGUCCGACGGUGAGGGAUGAAAGCUGGGGGAGCAAACCGGAUUAGAUACCCGGGUAGUCCCAGCUGUAAACUAUGCAAACUCAGUGAUGCAUUGGCUUGUGGCCAAUGCGGUGCUGCAGGGAAGCCGUUAAGUUUGCCGCCUGGGAAGUACGUACGCAAGUAUGAAACUUAAAGGAAUUGGCGGGGGAGCACCACAAGGGGUGAAGCCUGCGGUUCAAUUGGAGUCAACGCCAGAAAUCUUACCCGGAGAGACAGCAGAAUGAAGGUCAAGCUGAAGACUUUACCAGACAAGCUGAGAGGUGGUGCAUGGCCGUCGCCAGCUCGUGCCGUGAGAUGUCCUGUUAAGUCAGGUAACGAGCGAGAUCCCUGCCUCUAGUUGCCACCAUUACUCUCAGGAGUAGUGGGGCGAAUUAGCGGGACCGCCGCAGUUAAUGCGGAGGAAGGAAGGGGCCACGGCAGGUCAGUAUGCCCCGAAACUCUGGGGCCACACGCGGGCUGCAAUGGUAACGACAAUUGGUUUCGAAUCCGAAAGGAUGAGGUAAUCCUCAAACGUUACCACAGUUAUGACUGAGGGCUGCAACUCGCCCUCACGAAUAUGGAAUCCCUAGUAACUGCGUGUCAUUAUCGCGCGGUGAAUACGUCCCUGCUCCUUGCACACACCGCCCGUCGUUUCAUUGAAGUGAGCUUUUAGCGAGGUGACGUCUAA